UGGGGAAUAUUGGACAAUGGGCGCAAGCCUGAUCCAGCCAUGCCGCGUGAGUGAUGAAGGCCCUAGGGUUGUAAAGCUCUUUCACCGGUGAAGAUAAUGACGGUAACCGGAGAAGAAGCCCCGGCUAACUUCGUGCCAGCAGCCGCGGUAAUACGAAGGGGGCUAGCGUUGUUCGGAUUUACUGGGCGUAAAGCGCACGUAGGCGGACUUUUAAGUCAGGGGUGAAAUCCCGGGGCUCAACCCCGGAACUGCCUUUGAUACUGGAAGUCUUGAGUAUGGUAGAGGUGAGUGGAAUUCCGAGUGUAGAGGUGAAAUUCGUAGAUAUUCGGAGGAACACCGGUGGCGAAAGCGGCUUUUUGGCCUGCAACUGACACUGAGGCGCGAAAGCGUGGGGAGCAAACAGG
RNAcentral lists this ribosomal RNA (404 nucleotides) under Verrucomicrobiota bacterium. Its description in RNAcentral is "Verrucomicrobia bacterium partial 16S ribosomal RNA". It matches the Rfam family "Bacterial small subunit ribosomal RNA", at positions 355 to 776 of the family's 1533-position model. Lineage: Bacteria; Pseudomonadati; Verrucomicrobiota. The record is from RNAcentral.